GUCAGUGUACAUCAAGGUUCCUCUGUUUCCUUCAGAAUUCCAUCUAGGUAAGAUUCUUUUCCUCAAAAUUGAAGUUCGGGAACCAAAUUUGAUCUGGGUGUCUAAAAAUUUGUUUAUUUUCCUUGUGUUUAGGAAGUCCCAAUAAUUUUAAUCGAUAUGCUUUCAAUUUUGGCUGGGUGAUUAUGGUUUCCGUAUUCUAUUUUGGAUUCAUGUUUCAUAUUUUUGUUGUGUUUCUCACAUGCAGUAAUUAAUUUGGUAUUUUCCGUCAAAAUUAACUUUGUGGUUUAUUUUAGUUGGGUUUUUUUUAUCAGAACUCUUUUCAACUUCCUCCAUUCAUAUAUGGUCUUCUUCACCUGAAUCAAUUUUCUGGGUUUUUGUGAUGUUCGAUUUUUCUUGUGUUUGGGAAGUCCCAAUAAUUUUAAUCGAUAUGCUUUCAAUUUUGGCUGGGUGAUUAUGGUUUCCGUGUUCUAUUUUGGAUUCCCGUAUCAGAUUUUUGUUGUGUUUUCUCACAUGCAGUAAUUAAUUUGGUCUUUUUCCAUCGAAAUUAACUUAAUGGUUUAUUUUAGUUGGGUUUUCUUUAUCAGAACUCUUUUCAACUUUCUGCGUUCAUAUGUGGUUUUCUUCAUCUGAAUCAAUUUUCUGGUUUUUGUGAUGUUCUAUUUUCCUUGUCUUUUGAAAGUCCCAAUAAUUUUAAUCGUUACACUUUCAAUUUUGGUUGGGUGAUUAUGAUUUCCGUGUUCUAUUUUGGAUUUCUGUUUUAGAUUUUUGUUGUGUUUUCUCACAAGCAGUAAUUAAUUUGGUCUUUGGGUUUUCUUUAUAAGAAUUUUUUUGAAGUUCCUUCGUUCAUAUAUGGGUUUUUCAUCAGAAUCAAUUUAUGGGUUCUUGUGGGUUGGUUUGGAGUUUCUUCACCUUAUUGCAAUGACAUUUUCUAUCACGACCCAGACCGUCAUGAUUGGCACCCACACUAACUCUCGGGUAGGAGAACCACUACUACAACCCAAACCAAGCAACUCAAUCAAAACUAAGGCAUUUAAGUUACAGAAGCAAGUUAAAUACAAAGAAAAUAAAUAGAGUUACCAUAAAGCCUAACAAUAAUAAACUAACAUUGAAGAAGUAAUGCCUAGAACCUAAAGGUCAAUGUACCAAAACAUCUAAAAUUCAACAAGUCUAAACAAGAAGGAAUGCAACCCCAAUCUAAUGGACUAAUCAACUAACUAGAACAUAGUCUAAGUUCGGAAAUGGUGGACAUAGACGAAAGAGAACCCAUGGCAGCCCGGAAGAAUUGGCUCACCCUUGAAUUCGAACGAUCAUUAACCUCCUAAGCGAGGUUUGUCAGUAGCUACUUGAAGAUGGCUUUUACUCAACAAAAAUAAGAGCAAGUGCAGUAUCAGUACGCAACCACAGUGUACGGGUAGGAUCACGCGGCUAUCCCACUAAGUGCAACAUACAUAAGUCAAAUAACAAUAUAAUCACAUGCAUAUAUCGAACCUUUACAAUAUCAUCAACAUUUACGAAUAACGAACAACUUCACAUGUCUCAAAAUACACAAUUAUGGCAAGUCAUUGGUCCUCUCAUGGAACUCAAACCCAAACAGUUAGCAUACCAGAACGUGGUACCCGAUACAAUGAUUAUGCCAGAACUUGGCAACCGAUCCCAUAAUUAUGCCGGAACGUGGCAAUCGAUCCAAGUUAGUUAUGUCGGAACGUGGCAACCGAUCCAUUCAACACACCACAAUCACAAUCACAAGUAUAUCCUCAAGAUCAUACAAUUAAGUCUUGAUUUCAUGGUAACCAUUAUUCAUCUACCUCAUUACAACAAGUGUGAUCAAUAAUGCAACAUUCAUAUACAUACAUGUAUCAUAAUGAAGCAAGAACAAACAUACAUCACACAAUCAUGAAUCACAACCAUCACCUACCUUGAAACAAGCUUGAAACCCUAAGAAACUUGAUCCUUCCCUUUCCGAAUUCGUUUCGCUUGUUCUUGGUCUACAAACAAUCAUAAUGACACUAGAAUCAAUAAACAAUCACUAAUUACCCCAAUUACUAACAAUUCUAACAACCCUAGAUCAUCCCCAUGAUCCCAAGUGUCCAAAAUAAGGUUGUAUCCAUCAUAGAAUCUAGAUCAAAACCCUCCCCCGUCAUUAAUUGUUCAUUCUAUUACGUUAUACGAAUCGAAAAAUGGAUUCGGGGAGUGAAAAGUUUACCUUUAGCCUCAAGAAUGGUGGAAAACUAUUAGGAGUCACCUGGGGUUCGUUCUUUAGUUCUAAAAAUCAAAAAGUGUAGGAAUAGGUCGUUUAGGGAUUUAUUUACGACCUUAAGUCACGUCGAACCCUCCACCGUGGCCCUCACCCCGUUGUGGCGGCCCCGUCAGAGCGACCAAAAGCUCCGCCAGAGCAGCUUGCACGAACCAGUGAGCUAUUUAAAGAAUUCCUAAAUUCUCAUUUCACAACACACUUCUAACCAACGACGCUCAGAAAAUACCCAUUACGCUAAGGUCGAUUUCGGGAGUUCUACUCGCCCAAAUUCAAUUCCGUAAAGUCGUACGGAUUCCUUAACGAGUUAUCUAACCACUCAUUUAACCGAAAGUAUAAAUAAAUCACCCGAUUGUUACCAGAUUUUCCUACACCUUAAAGACUUCGAUUUCGUCCAAAUCUAGACAAGGUUGGGAAAAUCUAAAUACUACGAAAAAGUUUUCCGCUCCCAAAUUUUCCCCCGUUGACAUUUCUAUAACGACGGAAAUAGGUCGUUACAAUAGAUACCAAUUUACCCAUCACUCGACCCCGAGUGACAAAACUUUGGAAAAUAGACUAAGGAAAGAAUAAAGUAGUAUCUGAAUCGACGAACAAUUGGGGAUACUUGUCUCGCAUGUCCCUCUCGGUUUCCCAAGUAGCUUCCUUAACUGGACGAUGCUUCCAUUGAAAUUUCACGGACUUAAUCUCCUUGGUCCUCAACUUAUGCACAUCACGAUCAAGAAUUGCAACCGGUUCCUCCUCAUAUUGAAGGUCUUUGUCUAACACAAUUGAGUCUCACUUAAUGAUAUAAUCCCCGUCACCAUGAUACCCUUUCAACAUUGACACAUUAAAUAUCGGAUGAACACCCGAUAGAUUAGGAUACGCUUCCGGCCUCACACAUUCAAGAACCUCAAAUGGACCAAUGUAUCGCGGACUUAGCUUGCCCUUCUUGCCAAAUCUCAUUACCCCUUUCAUGGGUGAUACCUUAAGAAGAACAUUUCCACCGGUUUGAAAUGUCGUGUCUCUUACCUUAUGAUCCGCAUACUUUUUUUGUCUACUCUAGGCUGUUAAAAGCUUAGCUUGAAUACUCCUCACCUUUUCUUGAGCAUCCUUCAUUAAAUCAACCCACAAAGGUUUCACAUCCCCAGCCUCGAACCAUCUUAUUGGUGAUCUACAUCCCCUACCAUAGAGUGCCUCACAUGGUGACAUAACUAUGCUGGAGUAAUAACUAUUAUUAUAGGAAAAUUCACACAAAGGUAGGAACUUAUCCCCAUGCCCUCCAAAAUCAAUCACACAUGCCCUCAACAUGUCUUCUAGCACUUGAAUAGUCCUCUCUGACUGCCCAUCUGUCUGUGGAUGGAAGGUUGUACUAAAGGUGAGUUGUGUGCCCAAUUCAUCAUGUAAUUUCCUCCAAAACUUAGAUGUGAAUUGGGUACCACGGUCUGAGAUGAUAGAGAAGGGCACCACAUGCAACCUCACUAUCUCUUUCACAUACACCUUAGCCAAUUGUUCAGCAUUAUAAUCUAUUCUUACCGGAAUAAAAUGGGUUGAGUUAGUCAAUCUAUCAACCACUACCCAAAUAGAAUCAAACUUCCCCAAAGUCUUGGGAAGACCAACCACGAAAUCCAUGGCUAUCCUCUCCCACUUUCAUUCUGGAAUUGGCUUUCUUUGAAACAAACCUGUAGGUCUUUGGUGUUCAUAUUUCACUUGUUGACAAUUUUUACACUUCGCCACAAACUCCGAUAUGUCCUUCUUCAAGCCAGGCCACCAAUAAAUUCGCUUCAAAUCUCGGUACAUCUUGGUCACACCCGGAUGGAUAGAAUAUCACGAACCAUAAGAUNNNNNNNNNNNNNNNNNNNNNNNNNNNNNNNNNNNNNNNNNNNNNNNNNNNNNNNNNNNNNNNNNNNNNNNNNNNNNNNNNNNNNNNNNNNNNNNNNNNNNNNNNNNNNNNNNNNNNNNNNNNNNNNNNNNNNNNNNNNNNNNNNNNNNNNNNNNNNNNNNNNNNNNNNNNNNNNNGCUUUUGGAAGCUCUCCUCACAUUUUUCAGUCCAUUCAAAUGGUAUCUCAUUUUUGGUCAAAUUAGUCAAGUGCAUGGCGAUAGAAUGCCUAACUGCAUGAACUUAGACUCUAAGGUCUGAAUUUCCUUAACUAAAGGUCGUUUGGAUGCACUCAAGCAAGCUAAACUACCCAUACUCACCGCCUUUCGACUCAAAGCGGCUGCCACUACAUUAGCCUUACCCGGAUGGUAAUGAAUGGUGACAUCAUAAUCUUUAAGUAACUUCAUCCACCUUCGUUGUCUCAAAUUCAGAUCAUUUUGAGUGAACACAUGUUGCAAACUGCGAUGAUCAGUACACACUUCACACUUAACACCAUAGAGGUAAGCCGCCAGAUCUUAAGAGCAAACACUACCGCUGCCAACUCCAAAUCAUGUGUUGGAUAAUUCUUCUCAUGUAUCUUUAACUAACGUGAGGCAUAAGCUAUAACAUUCUUAUCCUGCAUCAACACCGCACCCAAACCAGAAUGUGAAGCAUCACAAUAAACAAUAAAAUCUUUACCUUCAACCGGUAAUGCUAGAAUAGGCGGGAUGGUCAAAAGAGUCUUGAGCCUUUGGAAGCUCUCCUCACAUUUUUCAGUCCAUUCAAAUGGUAUCUCAUUUUUGGUCAAAUUAGUCAAGUGCAUGGCGAUAGAAGCAAAGUUCUUCACAAAUCGAUGAUAAUAGCUAGCGAGCCCCCACAAAACUCUUAACUUCAGUCACAGAACUUGGUCAAACCCAAUUCUUAACCGCCUCAAUCUUUUGAGGAUCUAUCAUUACCCCUUCUUUUGAAACUACAUGUCCCAAAAAUGCCAUAGAAGUCGACCAAAAUUCACACUUAGAAAAUUUCGCAUAUACCUUUUGCUUCCCAAGAACAUCCAAAACGAUACGAAGAUGGUCGGCAUGCUCUUCCUCACUUUUCGAAUAUACCAAAAUAUAAUUAAUAAAGACUAUGACGAAAGAAUCAAGAAAUGGCUUGAACACCCCAUUCAUUAUACUCAUAAAAGUUGUAGCCACAUUGGUCAAACCAAAAGACAUAACCAAAAACUCAUAGUGCCCAUAGCGAGUCCUAAACGUCGUCUUGGGCACAUCCUCAGGCCUAAUUUUCAACUGAUGGUAGCCAGACCUUAGAUCAAUCUUAGAGAAACUAAUGCACCUUGCAAUUGGUCAAAAAGAUCAUUUAUUCAAGGCAAAGAGUACUUGUUUCGAAUAGUGACCCUAUUCAAUUGCCGAUAAUCUAUACACAUUCUCAUACUAACAUCUUGUUUCUUAACAAACAAAACUGGAGCACCCCAUGGGGAAGCACUAGGACAAAUAAAUCUCUUAUCAAGAAGCUCUUAGGUUUGAGCCUUAAGCUCUCUUAAUUCUACUAGAGCCAUACGAUAUGGAGGGAUAGAAAUGGGACGCGUACCAGGCUCUAAAUUAAUGCAAAAAUCUAUAUCUCUAUCCGGAGGCAUACCAGACAAAUCACUAGGAAACACUUCUCUAAAUUCCGACACCACAGGAAUAGACUCAAUGGAUGGAGCCUCAAUCCCAACAUCUCUAAUAUGAGCCAAAUAAGCCAAACAACCUUGCCCUAUCGAUUUCCUAGCUCGAAUGGAGGCUAUGAUCUUAGCUUACUUAGGCUUGUACACCCCUUCCCACUCUAAUUUUUCCCUCCCCGAAAUUUCUAGAGUUACAGACUUAGUAUUACAAUUAAGCACGGCAUAAUAGGGGGACAACCAAGUCAUGCCUAAGAUUAUAUCAAAGUCAGUCAUAUCCAAAAUUACCAAAUCAGCCCAAGUCUGAAAACCCAUAAACAAAAUAGGACAAACACGAUAGACAUGGGUAACUAUGACUGACUCUCCCAAACUGGGGGUGGGUAGAAACAUGGAUAGGGGCAUCAAGUAUAUCACAAAAUCAUAUUAAACUUUGAGGCAAAUCGCACGGAUACAUAAGAAAAAGUAGAAUCCGGAUCAAACACUACAACAAUAAAAGCUUUUAGCGGCAAUUAAUAUGCACCUUAGUGGAAACAUAAAUUGCCACUAAAACUUUUAUCGUCAUUUAAUUUAUUGUCAUUGGAUUCAAUGUCCCUAAAGGCUUUAGUGGCAAUUAUAAAGAGUGCCGGUAAAGAUACCAACUAUUGCCGCUAAAAGAUUUCAAUUUUAGCGGCAAUUAUUUACUGGCAAUAACAAUGGCCACUAAAAUCACCUGAAAUUUACAUCUUGCAUAAUCAAUAAUGAUGCAUCUAAUUGGCAAUAAAACUGCCCACAAAUUGCAAAUACUAAUAUUAAGAAAUGACGUUCUUCAUUAAAAUCACAAUAAACAAAAACAAAUAACUAUUCAUUCAUAAUCUUAAUGUCAACAACAUAACAUGAAAAAAAUUACUCCACUUGAUUCCAAAAGCUAAUCUUCUUUUUUUUAGAAGGUAAAAGCUAAUCUUGUUCUCAUUUCAAUAAUCUUCCACAUAUCAAAUCUCUAAACAUCAUAGAGUACAUAUCUAUAUCCUCUCAGAAACCAUUGCCUCGUGUCCUCUCGGAUACCAUCAUUCCAUAUCAAAACAAUAGGAUACUCUGCACUAGCCAACACCAUGUCUUCUUGAUGUUACCAGACCCCUGGAUCUCGAAUUGUCAUGCAAAGAUGAAUUUCUUAGGCAUAAGAAAAUGUUUCACUUGAAUUUCCCUUUUAGGACCUUCAAGUUUGCCCUUCAGACUACCUGAAGUUGUGUCCCACUCUCAUAUGCCCAUCAAUGCUUUCAGGAGAAGGCAACUGACCAUCAGGACUAAAAGCCAAACUAAACAAAAUCUCUGUGAUCUGAACCAUAUGUCAAAAAACAAAAGUUAAAAGGUAUAUCAAUAAGACAUAUCUAAUUAGCGAUACAAAACCAUAAAUCAUUCGGAUAAUAAACAUGAGACAGAUUCUUAAUGCCAGGCAUGACUCAUUUACCUUCUAAUAACUUUAAACUAGAAUCACCUUAACCAAUCUUCCAUAUAAAUUCUCCUUCGUCUCCACCACAUGUUGCCACCAAAUUAGCAUCUGUCGGACUGCAGAUACCAGUUUAUGCUUCAUUUAUAAAGAGAAAAUGUAUUGAAAUAGUUAAAAUAUAAAGUAAACAGAAAAGAAAUCCACUCCAAAGUACAGUCUAGUUAUAGUUUUAUACCCAAUCGGGAGGCAUUGACUAUCAUAUGGAUACAUUUAACUUUUAACUAGUCCAAAAUCAAUAAAAACACAUUUACCUAAAAUCAUUAUGUUGGUGAGGAAAACAAUCUUAUGUGAAGUAUAUUCAACUAUCUGAAUAUCUGAUUCAAUUUUCUUAUAGGGAAAAUAUUUACAUUAAUAAGUGGAAAAAUUCCAGCAUACAAGAAGCAAUAAGUGGAGGACCAACACAAGAUGGAAACAUAUAGCUAUGCACACUAUCAUUUAGAUAAAAGGGAUCUCACAUGUUUUCAAGAGUUUGUAAAACACAUAUAGCAUGUGACGAGUCUAGCUAGCAUUAACCAACCAUACGACACUUCAUAAGCUACAUACGCAUGCAAGUUUUACAACACAAAUAUGCAAGGAGUCCUUCCACUCCCAAAUGUGAAGGCUUUAGAUGCCUAAAACAACAUAGACUAGCUUGCUUAAAAGAAAUAUAUGAUUAACGACAUGCUCUGUGUCAGAGGCGUAUCUAGAGGGGGUGCCGUGGGUUCACGUGAACCCAUGCUCCCCUCUCUAGAUCAUAUAUAGUAGUGUUAUAUUUUUAAAAAAAUAUUUAAAUAUAGAUGUGUGAACCCAUGUUCAAAGUAUCAUAUAAUAAUACGAUGAUGAUUAGGUGCACCUCUCUAACUGAGGAUAAAAAUUUAAAUAUUAUAUCUAUCUUGUCUUUUUGAGUAACACCACUCCAAGUGGUUAUCAGUGACACUUUUGACGUUUCAACUAAUUUUUCUUUUGUAUUUUUGCCUUUAAUCUUUCAAAAUUUUCAAGCGUCUUACAUUGAAAAUUCCUAAAAAAUUAAGCACCGUAAUUUUUUUAUAUAAUUAAAUCAAUUGUGUAUAUUAAAAUUUAAAACUAAUAGUAUUAUAUAUUUUGAAUCUAUAGUUUUUAAAAUUUAAUGGUUCAUAUUUAGAACCUAAAAGUCAAAUGAUCAAAUUUAUAUUUAAGAUACAUUUCUUCGUAAUCGUGCACCCAUUUAACCGAAAUCCUGGAUACGCCUCUGCUCUGUGUGUUAAUAGAAUUUUGAGGUACGGACCUGUCAUACACUCCUACUGCAGGUUGUAGUGGAUUCAUGGUAUCAUAUGAAAUCUGUAGCUUAAAAAAGUAUGCAAAUCAAAGGAGGACAACAAACUCAACUUCUGAUACGAUCGUGUGACCUUUUUCAUGACUAGUCAAUAUCUUUGCUGAUAAAAGUUCCCAAGGAACAACGGCAAAACUAAACACACAUGCUUUCUGGUAGUAAGGCAGAUAAUUGAUGAUCUAAAAGGAAAAUAAAAGUUUAACAGACCAAGUUUACAGUGGCACAAGAUAGUUAUGCACGUGGUAAUAUACGUCAUAUACAUUAGCCACAAAACGUAGCCCUUGGUGUUAAUUAGAUAUCAUCGAACAAGGUGGCAGAAACAAAGAAAGCACAUAAGCUCCAAUUUUAUAUUGCACAAGUAAAACUCAACUUGAACUUACAAAUUAAUACUCGGUCAAUCUCAGAAAUUAGAGUCGAGGUCUUGCAGAUAUCAAUUUUCACUUAAUCAACGUCCUCCGCAAGAUAAGAAGUGCAAAACCUCUGAGAAAGAAAAUCAACCUGAGCCAGAGAGUAAAUUAACAAGCUUGGCUAGUAGAAACACAAAGUUACAUUGAAACUACUCAUAUACAAUAGCAGAUUGUGAUCACAAAUUUUAAACUCACCAAGAUAGAGCAACUAAAACCUUAUUCCAAGUUUACAGAGCUAAGCUUGUCAACUUACCAACUAGGGAAAACGAUUACUACAUAUGUCAAGCUGCGGAAUUAGAGCAACCACAAAUAGCCGAGCUCCAAUUGGUGUACCUGUCAUAACAGUUCCACCAGAACUCUUUAGGAUAUAUGAAUAAGAACAUGGAUUUUCUUCCAGAUGUUCUCAUGGACAAUAAAAUACAUGCUACCAGCAGCAAAAAUGUUAGAUACUCUUUAGAAUCUAUUGAUGCUUACAACACACAAAUAAAGUAGGAUAAAGAUGCAAAUUAUAGCAGAAUUUUGAAUCGAAAAGAUGAAAAGGUUAAAUUUUCAACCAGUGUUAGAUUGAAAAUUGACAGUGUGUUCAAAAUUAGGGAUUGAAGAAAACGACUCAACUUUGAUUCGAGCGAGGACUCGAAUACAUAAAUCUGAUUAGAAGAGAAAACAAAGACAUACUGAAAAUGUAAAAUGGCUUAAGCUUCAAUUCUAACAACUUAGGUUUUUCAUAAGACGAUUGCACGCGCUAAAAUUGCUCCUAAUAUCUCAAACACGAAUAAAAAUAUCAUAACUUCAUUAAACUUCCAAAAAUAAAGAAAUUCAGAUAGUAACCGAUGAAGGAGGAAGAAUACCGACAUAGUAGCGGUGUUGAUUCGUAGCGGAGGUGGAUUUGGAGGUCCGGAUAGCGGUGGUGGAUACGGUGGUUUUGGUGGCCGUGCUGAAUACGAUGGCUCCAGUGGCGCCGGAGAAUACGGUGACUUAAGCGGCGGUGGAUAAAAUGGCUACGGUGGCUCUGGAGGUGGUGAUUCUGGAGGAGGAGGAGGGCAGCGGAUCUAAUGGCCAGCGUCUUUUAUUGCUUUGAGGGAAUAAGUAAAAUAUUAAAAUUGAAUUUAGUUAUUGACUUUUAGUGGCAACUAUCUUUUAAGGGAAAAUUACGCGGUUAAGCAAACUUAUACUACUUAAUUACUCAUUAUAGCUAUAGUUUGCUAUAAUUACCACUCACGACUAACAUUAUACAUUAAUUACGCGGGCUGACUUCGAGUUUGUAUAUGUAUAAUUCGCCAGAAUAUACAAAUACAUAUGUAUAAUAUAUAAUUAUCUAACCUAUAUACAUAUACAAUUCACCUCUCUCCCACUCUCUGCCCUCUCUCGCUCGCUUCUCUCCUCCCUCUCCCAAUCUCUCUCGCCUCUCUCCUCCCUAUAAUAUAUAGCUACGAAUUGUAAUUAUCAAACUAUAGCUAUGGAGAGUAAUUGGGCUAUUUUUGAGUUGCUAUAUGUGAAAGUUCCCCAUCUUUUAAUGCCACUGAAAAGAGAAUUUUUUUUACGGUGAAUGUACAUUUGCCGCUAUAUCUUAUUUUAGAGAUUAAAUUAGUGGCAAUUAUUUUAUUGCUGCUAAAUAAUUGCCACUAAAAAUACUUUUUGGUGUAUUGAAACAACACAUUAGCCAUCCGCUCACAGACAAGAAUAGUACUUGUGAUCACUGCAUCAGACGCCUCUGCCUCAUUCUUGCCCGGAAAUGCAUAACACUGAGACCUAUCAUCUUGACGAGCCACUUCCCUGCCUGGUUACGCAUUACCCCUGACUGCAUUACCAUUACCUCUACCUCCACGGCCUCGUUGAUUACCUCCUCGCCUACUUUGUGGACGUCCUCUACCAUUAUUACCAUUCCCCGCGGGUACCACUGCUCUAGACUGCUGAUGUGUGGAAUCUAACACACGUGGGUGGAGAAAAUUUCUCUUCAUACGCCCAGGUUCACCACAGUUGUAGCAAGUACGAUCAAAAUAUGGUCUACCACCCGUCGAAGGCGCGACUCCCUAGCUAUCCUGAACAUUAUAAGAUGGAAUUUCCGAGUAACUACCUGCAGAGGUAGGCAUAGCGGACUGAAUUGACUUGGCUGCAAGCGUUUGCCUUCCGGACCCCUUGGAAUAAGAACCUUGAAAGUUACCCGGAGUUCUUGGCCCUUUUUGUCCAUGCCUUAGCUUGACCGUUUCGCCUCACCCUUCCCCCCCCCCAACUUCUUAACAUAGUCUAUUACCUCAUUGAAGCUCCUCCCUGCAAGUAGCAUAUCUAGACAAGGCAUGGAACUUGGCCUUCAUAAGGCAGCCACAGUCAUACCACCCUGCUCCAAAGCCAUGAACUCAUCCUUCUUGAGAUCCCUCAAGGUCCUAGGCACAUACUUCUCUAUAAACAGAGCAUGAAAUUGGGUCCAAGUAAGUGGAGGUAAAGUAGAAGAUCAGCAUUCCAUAUAAGCUCUCCACCACAGCUUAGCCUCACCUUGAAGUUGAAAGCACAUGAACUCAACCCCAUGUUAAUGGACAAAUUCCCAACUUAUGAAGCCUCUCAUAGCAAUCUAAGAUAAACUCAUAAGCAUCCUCAUUCUCAGAACCAAGAAACACAUGAGAUUUUAGCUUCAAAAACAUAGUCAACAUUUCAUGUUCAUUACCAGUCAUAACAGAACCCAACAAAGGACGGAAGAAAGCAUUAUUACCUCCGGUCCCACCCACCUUGGGCGCAGUGCCAGCAACAGAAAGGUUAGUAGGAGCUUGAGUUGCUUGAGCAAAAGGAAGCACUCCAGGACCAACCAACCCUUUCAAGAAUGACAUGAUAUGUCGAGCUAACACUGGGUCUAUGGGGGGAACAUCAGUAGUCUCAGCCUGCACCUCUUCCUCUUGUCCCACAUCCUCAACAUUCUCAACAUCAACAUUUUCCUCUUCAAUCUCUUCAUGAUGCGCAAGAGGGUUCUUAUUCACAUGAGCAUUCUCAAUAGGAGCUCCAUUUCCAGCAGGCGCUACUCUUUUACGGCCUCUACCCCUGCAUCGACCGUGACCUCUCGCUGCAGAUUCCUCAGCUAGAGCAUUGACGGGAGCUACGGGCCUAAUACUGUUGAAUCUAGUAUUAACCAUCUACAGACAGAAGAGUGAAAGAGGUUAGAUACCAAUUUGAAUCGCCAGAUACCAAUUGGAAUCAAGUCAUAGCACAAAAUGAGACAAGAGAAACAGUGAGAUUUCCCAAAGUUCUAUAGCCUCUCGAAGAAAAGUAAAGGCGUCCCCGUACCGUUCCGCAAGACUAUACUAGACUUGUUUUGGUACAUCGAGAUCAACAAACCUAGGCUCUGAUACCAACUUUGUCACGACCCAGACCGUCGUAAUUGGCACCCACACUAACUCUCUAGUGGGAGAACCACUACUACAACCCAAACCAAGCAACUAAAUCAAAACUAAGGCAUUUAAGUUACGGAAGCAAGUUAAAUAUUAGGAAAUAAAUAGAGUUCCAUAAACUCUAACAAAAGUCUAACAAUAAUAAACUAACAUUGCGAAAGUAAUGCCUAUAACCUUAAAGUCAAUGUACCAAAAUAUCAAAAACUCAACAAGUCUAAAUACGAAGGGAUGCAACCCCAAUCUAAUGAACUAAUCAACUAACUAGAACAUAGUCUAAAUCCGGAAAUGGUGGACAUAGACGAAAGAGAACCCAUGGCAGCCCAGAAGAAUUGGCUCACCCUUGAAUUCGAACGAUCACUGAUCUCCUAAGUGAGGUCUAUCAGUAGCCGCUUGAAGAUGCCCUAUACUCAACAAAAAUAAGAGCAAGUGCAGUAUCAGUACACAACCACAGUGUACUGGUAAGAUCACGCGGCUAUCCCACUAAGUGCAACAUACAUAAGUCAAAUAACAAUAUAAUCACAUGCAUAUAUCAAACAUAUACAAUAUCAUCAACAUUUACAAAUAACGAACAACUUCACAUGUCUCAAAAUAUACAAUUAUGACAAGUCAAUGGUCUUCUCAUGGAACCCAAACCCAAAUAGUUAGCAUGUCGGAACGUGGCAACCNNNNNNNNNNNNNNNNNNNNNNNNNNNNNNNNNNNNNNNNNNNNNNNNNNNNNNNNNNNNNNNNNNNNNNNNNNNNNNNNNNNNNNNNNNNNNNNNNNNNNNNNNNNNNNNGAACGUGGCAAUCCGAUCCCAUUCACACACCACAAUCACCAUUAUAUCAUCAAGAUGAUACAUUUAAGUCAUGAUUUCAUGGUAACCAUUAUUCAUCUACCUCAUUACAACAAGUGUGAUCAAUAAUGCAACAUUCAUAUACAUACAUGUAUCAUAAUGAAGCAAGAACAAACAUACAUCACACAAUCAUAGAAUCACAACCAUCACCUACCUCGAAACAAGCUUGAAACCCUAAGAAACUUGAUCCUUCCCUUUACGGAUUCAUUCCGCUUGUUCUUGGUCUACAAACAAUCACAAUAACACGGGAAUCAAUAAACAAUCACUAAUUACGUGAAUUACUAACAAUUCUAACAACCCUGGAUCGUACCCAUGAUCCCAAGUAUCCAAAAUAGGGUUGUUUCCACCAUAGAAUCUAGAUCAAAACCCUCCCCCAUCAUUAAUUGUCCAUUCUAUUACGUUCUACAGAUCAAAAACUGGAUUCGAGGAGUGAAAAUUUUACCUUUAGCCUCAAGAAUGGUGGAAAACUGUUAGGAGUCACCUGGGGUUCGUUCUUUAGCUAUAAAAAUUGAAAAAUGCAGAAUGAGAUCGUUUAGGGGUUUAUUUAUGAACUUAAGUCGCGUCGAACCCGCCACAGCGGCCCUCACCCUACUGUAGCGGCCCCGCCAGAGCGGCUUGCACAAACCAGUGAGCUAUUUAAAGAAUUCCAAAAUCCCCAUUUCACAACACACCUCUAACCAACAAUGCUUAGAAAAUACCCUUUACGCUAAGGUCGAUUACGGGAGUUCUACUCUCCCGAAUUCAAUUUCGUAAAGUCGUACGGAUUCCUUAACGAGUUAUCUAACCACUCAUGUACCCAGAAUUAUAAAUAAAUCACCCGAUUAUUACCAGAUUUCCCUACACCUUAAAAACUCUGAUUUCGUCCAAAUCUGGACAAGGUUAGAAAAAUUCAAAUACUACGAAAAAGUUUUCAGGUCCCAAAUUUUCCCCCGUUGGCAUUUCUAUAACGACGAAAACAAGUCAUUACAUUUUCAUAGUUGAUUUCUAGGAUGCAAUUGAACACAUUGUGCUCUCUCACAUCCGUAGUAAAGCGAUUUGAGAAGUAGUUAGAACCUCCCUUGAAAAGUCAAGUUUUUAAAUUUAUUAUUAUAUAAUUUCCUUAUGCUUAAUUUAAGGUUCUAGAGGAAGGAACUGAUAGGUAAAGCACUAGAGUUUUGUUCUUUUCAUCUUUUCUCUUGCUAUAUUUGGUAGUGUUAGUUGGAAUAUUGUUGCUUGUGAGUUUUGAUGUGGAGCACUUGUUGUCACUCUAAAUCUAUGUUUUACUCUUCUUUAUUUUAUAGGCAGAAUUUGUGUUAUAGGGAAGUUACUGUUUGGGUUGAAUGUUGUUGAUUUUCUUUGUGGAAUUUAGGGAAAUUGGAAUUAUCAGGUUUCUUUUUAGUUAAAUUUGGCUAUUGAUUGAUUUGAUUCCACGCUGGAGUUUUGUUCUCUCUGUUUCUGUGUGAUUUGGGCAGAGGGGUGAUUAUAGUUUUCUUUUUUUUUUAAAUCAUUGUUUCAUUUCCUGAUUUACUUUUGUGUUGUAGCAACUUUUUGGGGCCCGCUAAACUUAAAAAACCUAAUUUAGGACCUCCAAAGCUUGUGAAAUUUCAUGUAAAUCUUUUCAGUUAAACCUUUCCUCUUGCUAUAGUUGGUAGUGUUACUUGGAGUAUUGUUACUUGUGAGUUUUGAUGUGUAGCACUUGUUAUCCUUCUAAAUCUACGUUUUACUUGCACUCAUAUUUCCAUUUCAGUAUUGAAACCAAAUAGCUCUAGUGUUUUGUUUGUCUAAGCUUUCAUAAAUUCACAUGGCUACACAAUGAUAUCAUAUGUUGAAGGUGAGCUAUAACAUAUUCUAUUUGAUAGAUACAAAUUAUAAAAAAUACUAAAUUCAUUUUACAAUUAUUUUUGCGUGCAGUGUGAAGUUAAGGAUUUGCAGUUAUUACUAUUGAAGUUUCAGCUACAGGUAUGUUUUCAGCUACAUGUAUGUUCUUUCCCACCCAUUAUUGUGAUUUCUUUUUCCCUCCUUCCUCCUUUUAUCUCCUUGAUUAGUAGCGGUCCAGUCACUCUGUUAUGCUCCAUUUUGAUUGAUAGGAAAUUUGGGGCUGUUUGAGGAGUUUAAGGGUACAAAGUUGUUGUCUUGUUACUGGUGAAGAGAAAGAUAACUAGAUCAUGGAUUCAUACUAGGCAUGAUAUUUAUUGUUACAUAAUUGCUAAUUUUCGAUGGACGUUUCAUCUGAAUUUGAUAGGUUGGUAAGAAGAUUUUUGACGAAAAGUCCAUCAAAAACGUUAUCGACGAGAAAAUAUCUACAUGAUACUACGUAUUAUAUAAUCUUUGGAAAUGGUUUUAAAGAAGAUAUUUGACUAGGUAAACAAGCCAAGUUUCUAAAUACAAUUAUAUAUUUAAUAAUGGUCCCAUUAACAAGUGCACUAGUGGAUUGAUGAGUAUCUCUUCAAAAGAGAUUCAAGUUCGAGUUUCCUUAGAUAUAUAAUUGUCUUUGUUAGAAAGUGUUUUACGUUCAUGUGAAAUUUUUUGAUGCAAACUUAAAUUUAGUUGAAUAUAAUACAAAUACCAAAAGGGUUAAGGUUCUUGACAAGCAACUCUUUAGUAGUUGGAUAUACCCCUCAUAGUUAUAUCUGAACUUGGAAGUUCAAUAUAAUUUUUCCAAUCAAAUUGCUUACUUUUGCAAUGUGGAUUAGGCAUUUCUUGAUUUUUGGAUGGGCUGAAAUUCUGCAAAUCAUUAGUGUAUUGUUCAUACUAGAAGUAACGAUAAUAUUAUCACAAUCUAAUAUAUACUUUUCAUGAGUGUCUCAUUUUGUUUUAGUGUCUCACUUCAAACACCACACACCCAAACUAAUGCCAAAGUUUGUUUUUCCUUUUUUUUGAGUAACCAAUAUGCUAAAAUAUUCAGGUGCUGCAACCUUAAGUAUCAUAAUUUAGUUCUCUUGAGUUGCUUAGUUGGUUUUGCAACUGUUAACAUGUUAUUGAUGUAAGGGAUUGUAACAGGUUAUAGAUUAUUUAUAUCUUAUAAUUAUGGCUCGGCUUGAAGAAUUGGCAUUGAUAAAUUGUGAUGUAAUGGAAAGAUAAUUUGGUUUAUUGACUACAUUAGGGCAGGAUUUGAAAAGAUUAAAAAAAUAGGUGUUGACUUAGUUGCUUUUACAUUUUAUUUUUGUCACACCUCAAAAUAGGGGGCGUAUCUGGCACUCGAUACCCUAAUACAUCGAGUUACCCACUGAAACAUACUAGCUAAACCAAACUGUGAAACAAAAAGAUUGGGCUGCACAACCUCUAAAAAGUGAAGCCUGGACCCAGAGAUCAUGACCUGAAUGAGAAUAAACCAUACAAAUAAUGGUAGACAAACCAAAAAAAAUAAAAUAUGUACUAUCUAUCCAACGAGGCCACAACCGAAAACAUACCUACUUACACACACACAUAUAUAUACAUGCCAAGCCUAUUGGCUAGAGGUUGAAACAUACAAAAAGAAAGCCCAGAAUAUUGUGUCCACAAUAGCCUCUAUGAGUGACAUAAGCACUGUCGGGACAAGGCCCCGACUAUACCCAAACUGUACAACAAAAGUAAACAUCCUCUGAUGGCCCCAGGAUAAGAUGGAGCUUACCAACUCACAGCUGAACCUGAAUCCUAGCGGGUGGGUCGAUUAGAGUCCUUGCAUAUACCUGCUCGCACACGAAACAAAAAGCAGCGUCCCCAGGCAAAGGGACGUCAAUACAAAUAAAAAUGUACUGGUAUGUAAAGCAGAAAGUAAAAUCAUAAACAUUUACUGUAAAAGGGUAAUAGAGAUACCACCUAAAACUGAAACCCAAAUAAUCUCCAUGGCUGACCUUUAGCCCCCAACUACUUAAAUAUGCAUGGUGUGCUCGUAUAAUCAUAUGUCGUGAAUACAUAUAUAUAUAUAUAUAGAUGCAAAUGCAUGACAUACCCAACCAUAUGCUAGCAAUAGUGGUGCUUUCCGGUAGCGAACCGGCAUCAUAUUCGCCAACUUGUGGCUAUCUGUGUCUCAUACGUAUAAAUAUAGGCAAUAGGCCCCAUACCUCCCGAUUAUAGCUCAGGAGUAGAAUGCAUAGCAUGUCAUGUCAUGGAUUUAUAACACCUAUGAGUUACUGUUGUCAUGUUUCCAAUCUUGUCCCGUUUGUAGUCUUGUUCUCAUAACCCCAUAAUAACUUUCGUAUAACAUAUAACAAUUUCAUGGAACCUGAUAUGUUAUUCCAAAUAAGCUUGAAAAGUUAACUAGAAUUUUAGAAGGAUAACCUAACCAUGUUGAUAUUCAUAACAAGUUUAAGGUGACUUACUUAGUUCCUAACUUGGUUCCUAGAUAAUUUAUAAAAAAAAUAUUUCAAAAACCAACUGUUCUAAUAGUUUACAUUUAAAUUAUAUUCGAGAGUUUUGAAGAUCGUGAGUUACUUUAAAGAUUUUUUUAAUAAUAACCUUAGUGGAGAAAGAGGGCUGGUCACAAGAAGUAAGUGUCUCGCGUGACAUUUUAAUUCACAUCACCCAAGGAAGAAUACGAAUUCAUACGUGCGGACAUAUAAAUCAAGGAAACCGAUAAAAUAGACAUGUAGAUGUCGAACACUCUAUUUAUCCGAACGAGUGAACUAUCAAAAUAACAGAAUCAUGAAAAAAAUUCAGCUGAGAUCCCAAUGCCUUUCACUGAAGGUCUUUCUAGCAAGAGAAUAGCAAAAUAUCGCAUUCGGCGUUUUAGGAAUUUCCCAGGAGUGGUGCUAAAAUGAGGGACGUAGCUUCGCCUUAACAUACCUUUUCAAUGAACGCUCGAAUGGCCGUAGCUUCUUCACGAAAGUUGUUCCUUACGUCCUAAGCUUCGCAAACACUAUAUAUACACAGCUGGUACGCACCUAUAAACAAUUCAUAAUUGUUCUUAAAUCGGCAGAUUUGCCAAAUGGCCUCAACUUGACGAAAUGUCCGUAGAACUUCAUAAAAACAAUCAUAAAAGAGUCUCGAGAUGAUUACCUUAGUUAACCAAGUGUAAAACCUUGAAGAAACACCAAUAACUACAAAUUUAUAUCUUCAAAAACUUGCUUCAAACGCAUCNNNNNNNNNNNNNNNNNNNNNNNNNNNNNNNNNNNNNNNNNNNNNNNNNNNNNNNNNNNNNNNNNNNNNNNNNNNNNNNNNNNNNNNNNNNNNNNNNNNNNNNNNNNNNNNNNNNNNNNNNNNNNNNNNNNNNNNNNNNNNNNNNNNNNNNNNNNNNNNNNNNNNNNNNNNNNNNNNNNNNNNNNNNNNNNNNNNNNNNNNNNNNNNNNNNNNNNNNNNNNNNNNNNNNNNNNNNNNNNNNNNNNNNNNNNNNNNNNNNNNNNNNNNNNNNNNNNNNNNNNNNNNNNNNNNNNNNNNNNNNNNNNNNNNNNNNNNNNNNNAUACGGGGUUUUGUGCGUUGCAAACUACACUCGUAGGACUUCGAUUUAAUAGGUGAUAGGACUUCUAAAUCUUUGUAUAUUGGGAGAAAACAUCCAAGACAUUUGACCCAAAGUUAAGAAAAUAUUAUUAGAGAAACUUCGAUAACUUUUGCCGACUUUAGUUUCACUAAUUUUCUUGACUUCCAAACUUAACAUACGACCCUUGUGCUAUUAUAAUACCUCAUAACACACUAUUAUUAGCAUGUUUUACACUCAUAGGCUUAUCCACAAGGUAUGGGACAAUUUAAACAUUUCAAACGGCGAAGUUCUACCCGAGCCAUUUCUUUAGUCAUGAACUUUGUUUGAGGGGUCCCUUUGACCUAAAACUUUAGUUUAGUUCCUUGAUAUUGCCACAUAUUUGAAAUUUUAAUCUCCAAUGUAUGAUACAAAGUCAUAUACACCUCAUAUAACCAUGUCAUUCUACGCCACACAUAUUAUGCACGAUUAGACAAAGAGCAUGGGAUCUUACAAUUUUUAACUCCGAUGUUGAUCCAAGCAAUCACACCUUCUGUUAGGGCAGAACACAACAACACAAAUAAUGGAAUAACAACCAUGCUUGAAAUAUACGUAAUCAAGACAUUGAAUAUCUGAAGCAGUAGAUGCCCAAAUAGGAAUUAUGCCAUGUAUGUUCUUUGAUAAAAGAGGCUAGAGAGUUCUGUGUAUGUUUUUUAUGGAUUGAUGCCAACUAAGAAUCUCACUUGUUUAUCUGAAGCUCGCAAUAAUUUGUCUCCACUAGAUUCAAAAGUCUUCUUUACUUUCUUUUGUUUAAUGUUGUUACUGUGUUGCUUUUUGCGAGAAAAGUUUUAACUCUAAAUAGUUGUCUACAAAAUCAUGACAGUGAAAGAUUUACUUGAUGUUUUUUUAAUUAGUUGUCACAUGGUGUUGUGCCUACUACUCUCUGGCAAUUCAGAAAUGUUAUAGAAAUCAAAAUGCGUAUCAAAAUGCCUUACAACCAAAUUCUAUACUGAUGCUUGCAAUUUUACAUAUUCUUAUUGAAAAGACAUUUUUAUACUCAAUUUAAGCAACUAUUGUAGCACCCUUUUCUCAAAAAAACUUUCUUCCAUAAACUUUUUUCCAUUCUAGCUUGCAUCUAUGUAAGCUAGGAUCUAUUAUAACAUUGUUUAUCUUUUUUCUAUUCAAAAGUCUUCUUUACUUUCUUUUGUUUAAUGUUGUUACUGUGUUGCUUUUCGUGAGAAAAGUUUUAACUCUAAAUAGUUGUUUGCAAAAUCAUGACAAUGAAAGAUUCACUUGAUGUUUUUUUAUUUGGUUGUGCCUACUACUCUCUGGCAAUUCAGAAAUGUUAUAGAAAUCAAAAUGCCUUACAACCAAAUUCUAUACUGUUGCUUGCAGUUUUACAUUAAGCUAGGAUCUAUUAUAACACUGUUUAUCUUUUUUCUAUGUAAACAAGAAAAAAAUCAACAAAACUCACUCUCUGAGAAGAAUUCAUAGACCUAUAUGGGAAUAAACUUCUCACACAUCUGAAAGAACUUCAAGAUUUCCCAGUAAUUCUUGCCAGAAAAGUAGCCAAACCAAAAUCAUCUUCAGG
This 20069-nucleotide long non-coding RNA is filed under the name Solanum tuberosum (potato). RNAcentral's name for it is "long non-coding RNA (STUB_LNC009726)". The record is from RNAcentral. Lineage: Eukaryota; Viridiplantae; Streptophyta; Magnoliopsida; Solanales; Solanaceae.